UGCAGUCUGCAACUCGACUGCAUGAAGCUGGAAUCGCUAGUAAUCGCGAAUCAGAAUGUCGCGGUGAAUACGUUCCCGGGCCUUGUACACACCGCCCGUCACACCAUGGGAGUUGGAAGCACCCGAAGUCGGUGACCUGACUGAAAGGGAGGAGCCGCCGAAGGUGAAGCCAGCGACUGGGGUGAAGUCGUAACAAGGUAGC
This 202-nucleotide ribosomal RNA is filed under the name uncultured bacterium. RNAcentral describes it as "partial 16S ribosomal RNA". It matches the Rfam family "Bacterial small subunit ribosomal RNA", at positions 1299 to 1500 of the family's 1533-position model. The record is from RNAcentral.